GAUGAACGCUGGCGGCGUGCCUAAUACAUGCAAGUCGAGCGAACAGACGAGGAGCUUGCUCCUCUGACGUUAGCGGCGGACGGGUGAGUAACACGUGGAUAACCUACCUAUAAGACUGGGAUAACUUCGGGAAACCGGAGCUAAUACCGGAUAAUAUAUUGAACCGCAUGGUUCAAUAGUGAAAGACGGUUUUGCUGUCACUUAUAGAUGGAUCCGCGCCGCAUUAGCUAGUUGGUAAGGUAACGGCUUACCAAGGCGACGAUGCGUAGCCGACCUGAGAGGGUGAACGGCCACACUGGAACUGAGACACGGUACAGACUCCUACGGGAGGCAGCAGUAGGGAAUCUUCCGCAAUGGGCGAAAGCCUGACGGAGCAACGCCGCGUGAGUGAUGAAGGUCUUCGGAUCGUAAAACUCUGUCAUUAGGGAAGAACAAAUGUGUAAGUAACUAUGCACGUCUUGACGGUACCUAAUCAGAAAGCCACGGCUAACUACGUG
RNAcentral lists this ribosomal RNA (497 nucleotides) under uncultured bacterium. RNAcentral's name for it is "partial 16S ribosomal RNA". It matches the Rfam family "Bacterial small subunit ribosomal RNA", at positions 28 to 507 of the family's 1533-position model. The record is from RNAcentral.